GUCUACAGCCAAACCACCCUGAGCGCACCCGAUCUCGGCCGAUCCCGGAAGCUAAGCAGGGUGGGGCCUGGUUAGUACUUGGAUGGGGGACACCUGAUCCAGGAAGGACU
Mustela putorius furo (domestic ferret) is the source of this 110-nucleotide ribosomal RNA. The record is from Ensembl. NCBI's taxonomy places the organism in Eukaryota, Metazoa, Chordata, Mammalia, Carnivora, Mustelidae.